Molecule: ribosomal RNA, 1564 nt
Filed under: Brassica napus (rape)
Lineage: Eukaryota; Viridiplantae; Streptophyta; Magnoliopsida; Brassicales; Brassicaceae
Description: bacterial SSU rRNA
Rfam family: Eukaryotic small subunit ribosomal RNA (bases 2-998)
Source: RNAcentral
CCUGGUUGAUCCUGCCAGUAGUCAUAUGCUUGUCUCAAAGAUUAAGCCAUGCAUGUGUAAGUAUGAACGAAUUCAGACUGUGAAACUGUGAAUGGCUCAUUAAAUCAGUUAUAGUUUGUUUGAUGGUAACUACUACUCGGAUAACCGUAGUAAUUCUAGCGCUAAUACGUGGAACAAACCUGACUUCUGGAAGGGAUGCCUUUAUUAGAUAAAAGGUCGACGCGGGGUCUGCCCGUUGCUCUGAUGAUUCAUGAUAACUUGACGGAUCGCAUGGCCUUAGUGCUGGAGACGCAUCAUUCAAAUUUCUGCCCUAUCAAAUUUUGAUGGUAGGACAGUGGCCUACCAUGGUGGUAACGGGAGACGGAGAAUUAGGGUUUGAUUCCGGAGAGGGAGCCUGAGAAACGGCUACCACAUCCAAGGAAGGCAGCAGGCGCGCAAAUUACCCAAUCCUGACACUAGGAGGUAGUGACAAUAAAUAACAAUAUCGGGCUCUUUGAGUCUGGUAAUUGGAAUGAGUACAAUCUAAAUCCCUUAACGUGGAUCCAUUGGAGGGUAAGUCUGGUGCCAGCAGCCGCGGUAAUUCCAGCUCCAAUAGCGUAUAUUUAAGUUGUUGCAGUUAAAAAGCUCGUAGUUGAACCUUGGGAUGGGUCGCCCGGUCCGCCUUCAGUGGGCACCGGUCGGCUUGUCUCUUCUGUCGGCGAUAUGCUCCUGGCCUUAACUGGUCGGGUCGUGCCUCCGGCGCUGUUACUUUGAAGAAAUUAGAGUGCUCAAAGCAAGCCUACGCUCUGUAUACAUUAGCAUGGGAUAACAUCAUAGGAUUUCGAUCCUAUUGUGUUGGCCUUCGGGAUCGAAGUAAUGAUUAACAGGGACAGUCGGUGUAGAAACCCGCAAAAAAAAAAAGAGAGAAUGGUCGAGUAUCUUUGUGGUGGUCGAGUUGCGGGCGAUCAGAUUGUUCUUGUUUAAACCAUGAGUCAAGUAUGCCACUAGGACAUGUUUUGACAAUGUCAUAGAUUGAUCAGAUGGAUGUUUUGGAAGCAAGCACGACGGGAUUGAAGCACGACGGGAAAACCCAAAAUUGGACGAAACCCCUAAUUUCGGUAUUAUGGAAUUUUUCGAGGAAGCCGAAGGAUCGGGAAAUAUUUUCUCUCAAGUUCAGAGAUCAACUGGAGUUUAUUAAAAAUGUUCAGAACAUCAGAAAGGGCGUAGAAAAAUAUUUGGGAUUGAUCGCAGGACGAAAAUUCACCGGAAGAGUGAAAAUCAGACGAACAGACCGAGAAGCUCGAGGUGGCUCGUUGCAUGGGAUCAGAACAUGGUGUCAACUGUUCAGUAAGCUGAGUGUCUACAGAAGCUCGAGGUGUCACCGUGCAUGGAAGCUGCACAUGCAGCUUGACAUGUAGAAGCACGAGGUGGAUCGACCAAGCACGAGGUGUCUCCGUGCAUGCAACCGAAGCAUGCUGAUCGACAUGUGUGUGCUGGGGUGUCGUCUUGCAUGAGUUCUAGCCAUGCAUCCUGACAUCAGGGAGGAGUGGUGGCGUCCUGCAUGUAUCCUGUACAUGCAGCCAGC